GUGGGGAAUCUUGCGCAAUGGGCGAAAGCCUGACGCAGCCAUGCCGCGUGAAUGAUGAAGGUCUUAGGAUUGUAAAAUUCUUUCACCGGGGACGAUAAUGACGGUACCCGGAGAAGAAGCCCCGGCUAACUUCGUGCCAGCAGCCGCGGUAAUACGAAGGGGGCUAGCGUUGCUCGGAAUUACUGGGCGUAAAGGGCGCGUAGGCGGACAGUUUAGUCAGAGGUGAAAGCCCAGGGCUCAACCUUGGAAUUGCCUUUGAUACUGGCUGUCUUGAGUACGGGGGAGGUGAGUGGAACUCCGAGUGUAGAGGUGAAAUUCGUAGAUAUUCGGAAGAACACCAGUGGCGAAGGCGACUCACUGGCCCGUUACUGACGCUGAGGCGCGAAAGCGUGGGGAGCAAACAGGAUUAGAUACCCCGGUAGUCC
This 425-nucleotide ribosomal RNA is filed under the name uncultured bacterium. RNAcentral's name for it is "partial 16S ribosomal RNA". It matches the Rfam family "Bacterial small subunit ribosomal RNA", at positions 354 to 796 of the family's 1533-position model. The record is from RNAcentral.